GGGAAUUUUGGACAAUGGACGCAAGUCUGAUCCAGCCAUUCCGCGUGCAGGAUGAGGGCCCUCGGGUUGUAAACUGCUUUUGUACGGAACGAAAAGGUCUCUAUUAAUACUAGGGGCUCAUGACGGUACCGUAAGAAUAAGCACCGGCUAACUACGUGCCAGCAGCCGCGGUAAUACGUAGGGUGCAAGCGUUAAUCGGAAUUACUGGGCGUAAAGCGUGCGCAGGCGGUUAUGUAAGACAGAGGUGAAAUCCCCGGGCUCAACCUGGGAACUGCCUUUGUGACUGCAUAGCUAGAGUACGGUAGAGGGGGAUGGAAUUCCGCGUGUAGCAGUGAAAUGCGUAGAUAUGCGGAGGAACACCGAUGGCGAAGGCAAUCCCCUGGACCUGUACUGACGCUCAUGCACGAAAGCGUGGGGAGCAAACAGGAUUAGAUACCCUGGUAGUCCACGCCCUAAACGAUGUCAACUGGUUGUUGGGUGCUCACUGACUCAGUAACGAAGCUAACGCGUGAAGUUGACCGCCUGGGGAGUACGGCCGCAAGGUUG
RNAcentral lists this ribosomal RNA (546 nucleotides) under beta proteobacterium K16. RNAcentral describes it as "bacterial SSU rRNA". It matches the Rfam family "Bacterial small subunit ribosomal RNA", at positions 357 to 896 of the family's 1533-position model. Lineage: Bacteria; Pseudomonadati; Pseudomonadota; Betaproteobacteria. The record is from RNAcentral.